Molecule: ribosomal RNA, 459 nt
Filed under: uncultured bacterium
Lineage: Bacteria
Description: SSU rRNA
Rfam family: Bacterial small subunit ribosomal RNA
Source: RNAcentral
AGGAUAAACGCUGGCGGCGUGCCCAACACAUGCAAGUCGAACGUCCUACGCGCAAGCGUAGGGAGUGGCGGACGGGUGAGUAACACGUGGGCAAUCUACCUUUCGGUGAGGAAUACCGGCGAGAAAUCGCCGACAAGACCGCAUACGCUCGGGCAACCGAGCAAAGUCGCAAGACGCCGGAGGAGGAGCCUGCGCCCGAUUAGCUAGUUGGUGAGGUAAGAGCUUACCAAGGCGACGAUCGGUAGCUGGUCUGAGAGGAUGAUCAGCCACACUGGGAUUGAGAACGGCCCAGACUCCUACGGGGGGCAGCAGUGAGGAAUUUUCGUCAAUGGGGGCAACCCUGAACGAGCAACGCCGCGUGCAGGAUGACGCUUUUCGGAGUGUAAACUGCUUUUCUCGGGGAAGAGCAAGGACGGUACCCGAGGAAUCAGCCCCGGCUAACUACGCGCCAGCAGCCGC